This 510-nucleotide ribosomal RNA is filed under the name uncultured bacterium. RNAcentral's name for it is "partial 16S ribosomal RNA". It matches the Rfam family "Bacterial small subunit ribosomal RNA", at positions 28 to 507 of the family's 1533-position model. The record is from RNAcentral.
GACGAACGCUGGCGGCGUGCCUAACACAUGCAAGUCGAACGCAGAGCGAUGGUAGCUUUCUUCUAUCAAUCUUAGUGGCGAACGGGUGUGUAACGCGUAAUCAACCUGCUCUUCCGAGGGGGACAACAGUUGGAAAAGACUGCUAAUCCCGCAUACGCUCUGAACACGGCAUCGAGGAUAGAAGAAAGCUAGUCUCUACAUGUAAGCUAUCACUGAAGGAGGUGAGUGCGUCUGAUUAGCUAGUUGGAGGGGUAACGGCCCACCAAGGCGAUGAUGAGUAGCCGGUCUGAGAGGAUGAACGGCCACAUUGGGACUGAGACACGGCCCAGACUCCUACGGGAGGCAGCAGUGGGGAAUCUUCCGCAAUGGACGAAAGUCUGACGGAGCAACGCCGCGUGAGUGAUGACGGCCUUCGGGUUGUAAAGCUCUGUUAAUCGGGACGAAAGGCCUUUUUGCGAAUAGGGAGAAGGAUUGACGGUACCGGAAUAGAAAGCCACGGCUAACUACGUG